UUUUAAGUGAAAAGGCUUAAAUAAAUUAAGGGGACGAUAAAGACCCUAUAAAGCUUUACAAUAAGUUACCUAUAUUAUAAAUUGUUAGUAUAACUUGAGUUUAGGUAACGUUUGUUGCGUUGGGGCGACGAGAAUAUAAUAAGUAACUGUUCUUAAGUUAUUUAAUGACAGAAAUUUCUGGAAAAUUAAUGAUCCUCUACUAGAGAUCAUAAGAUUAAGUUACUUUAGGGAUAACAGCGUAAUCU
RNAcentral lists this ribosomal RNA (245 nucleotides) under Penaeus vannamei (Pacific white shrimp). Its description in RNAcentral is "partial 16S ribosomal RNA". Lineage: Eukaryota; Metazoa; Arthropoda; Malacostraca; Decapoda; Penaeidae. The record is from RNAcentral.